Molecule: long non-coding RNA, 553 nt
Filed under: Mus spicilegus (steppe mouse)
Lineage: Eukaryota; Metazoa; Chordata; Mammalia; Rodentia; Muridae
Description: lncRNA (ENSMSIG00000004181.1)
Source: RNAcentral
CGCGCACGCACGCACGCGCACGCACGCGCACGCACGCACGCACGCACGCACGCACACAUUCCAGUAUGUCAGUGUUUCUUCUAUUCUACUAUUAUUUGAGCUAGAUCAUUGUUUUUGUGAGGUUGCCUUGUGUACUGUGGGAUAUUGAAUAGUGUCACUGGGCUGAUGACACCAGAUGCCAAUAACAGCCUUCCUUUCCCUCACCUCCUUGUGACAAAAUGUAUGGAGACAUUGCCAAGUGUCUCCUAGGACCCAAAUCAUCCAGUUGAACAUCAUUGAGUUAGGAUGAAAUGAAGAACUAAGUGAAAGUGAAGAAGACCAUGAAAGCUGUUGGUUUUCCUCUUGGGGGGCAAUCAGGAGGCAGACAGACACACUACAAAGGCAGAGCUCACAUCUUUCAUGUUCAUGGCUUGGCCUCCAACCUGGCAUUGACUUACUUGGGUUACCAUGGCAAUACUCAGUGCUGCUGUCAAUAUUCUGGUACAUGCUCCAUGGACACAAGUCAAGGAAGCCCUCCCUCUUAAAGAAUGUAAACUCAUGAAUACAAUUUCUG